This is a long non-coding RNA of Epinephelus fuscoguttatus (brown-marbled grouper), 337 nucleotides long. RefSeq lists it as uncharacterized. NCBI's taxonomy places the organism in Eukaryota, Metazoa, Chordata, Actinopteri, Perciformes, Serranidae. The record is from RefSeq and is a predicted model, not a curated record. The transcript has 4 exons.
UCGCCCUCUUUUCCAGAUAGCCCCAUCAUCGGGUUCCCGGAAGUCAACAGCGGACGUAUACAGCACACACGGCGUUAAAGCAGAAAGACCGUUUAUGAUGCACUCCUGAAGGCCCAACUGAUUUUGCAUAAGGGACAGGGAAGUUUGAGGACCUGGGUGAGAUGAAAAACACAAGAAGCACUAGGUGCUGGUUGGUGGUGGAGGAGCUGUACUGCUGCAGGACUGUUCCUUGAUGGAGGAUGCUGCAGAUCAGAGCUGAGUGGACCUUGUUGAGACUAAAACAUGACAAGGAGUGCUGUAGGGUGAGGACCAACGAUGUUACAGGUCAGCAGUGGUG